UACAGAGGUCCCGAGCGUUGUUCGGAUUCACUGGGCGUAAAGGGUGCGCAGGUGGGUUGGCAAGUUUGAUGUGAAAGCCCCGGGCUUAACCCGGGAAUGGCAUUGAAUACUGCUGAUCUGGAGGAUCGGAGGGGGGACUGGAAUUCUUGGUGUAGCAGUGAAAUGCGUAGAUAUCAAGAGGAACACCAGUGGCGAAGGCGAGUCCCUGGACGAUACCUGACACUGAGGCACGAAGGCCAGGGGAGCAAACGGG
Molecule: ribosomal RNA, 253 nt
Filed under: uncultured bacterium
Lineage: Bacteria
Description: partial 16S ribosomal RNA
Rfam family: Bacterial small subunit ribosomal RNA
Source: RNAcentral